UACGUAGGGGGCAAGCGUUGUCCGGAUUUAUUGGGCGUAAAGAGCGUGUAGGCGGCCAGAUAGGUCCGUUGUGAAAACUGGAGGCUUAACCUCCAGCGAUCGAUGGAAACCAUCUGGCUAGAGUCCGGAAGAGGAGAGUGGAAUUCCUGGUGUAGCGGUGAAAUGCGCAGAUAUCAGGAAGAACACCCGUGGCGAAGGCGGCUCUCUGGGACGGUACUGACGCUGAGACGCGAAAGCGUGGGGAGCAAACAGG
This 253-nucleotide ribosomal RNA is filed under the name uncultured bacterium. Its description in RNAcentral is "partial 16S ribosomal RNA". It matches the Rfam family "Bacterial small subunit ribosomal RNA", at positions 524 to 776 of the family's 1533-position model. The record is from RNAcentral.